Long non-coding RNA from Manihot esculenta (cassava), 274 nucleotides. RefSeq lists it as uncharacterized. NCBI's taxonomy places the organism in Eukaryota, Viridiplantae, Streptophyta, Magnoliopsida, Malpighiales, Euphorbiaceae. The record is from RefSeq and is a predicted model, not a curated record. The transcript has 2 exons.
AGUAAUAUCUUGGUCAGAAUCAGAGUCUGAUGCUUCUAAGGGAUUGUAUAUGGUUUCAUUAUCUGAAGAAGAAGAAGUUUCAUUAUAUUCAGUAAGGAUGGUAAACUUGGCAUGGUUUUGACUGGAUAUUUCCAUGUUUCUGGUAGACUGACAUCUUUCCAUUGUAUGGCCUUAGGUAUAUUUAUAUUAGCUUUGGUUUGGUCAAUUUCCCAAAAAAUUGUUUCUCCUGUUUGUCUAUUAUGAUUAAUGGCAUUAGGACAUAAUCCUGUAUUCA